RNAcentral lists this long non-coding RNA (330 nucleotides) under Anser cygnoides (Swan goose). RNAcentral's name for it is "lncRNA (ENSACDG00005005099.1)". Lineage: Eukaryota; Metazoa; Chordata; Aves; Anseriformes; Anatidae. The record is from RNAcentral.
GCCUCUGAGGCAGCUCCGGGUGCACGGGGAGAAGGCGUCAGCUCAUGACCAGCAGAGAAGACGAGAGAUUAAGGAGCAGAGCCCAACUCCGAGAAAAGACUCAGCGCGCUUGCCCUCCCUAGCGCUAAGCAUCGCAGGCGGCUGAUUGCGGCGGCAGCGCACCGCGUCCGGCUGCACUCACCGAGCCGAGCCCCCCGCGAAACUCCCCGCAAACACAGGGCGUUCCGCUGCCGAGAGGAGAAACCCAGCCCCUCGAAGUCCCCGGGAGUCCCUAACCACUGACAGCAGGAAGCUGCGGGUGAUGCAUUCCUGCGAGCUACACGCCGCGCU